Molecule: ribosomal RNA, 502 nt
Filed under: uncultured bacterium
Lineage: Bacteria
Description: partial 16S ribosomal RNA
Rfam family: Bacterial small subunit ribosomal RNA
Source: RNAcentral
GACGAACGCUGGCGGCGUGCUUAACACAUGCAAGUCGAACGGUGAAGGGGUCUGCUUUUGUGGGCCCUGGAUGAGUGGCGAACGGGUGAGUAACACGUGAGUAACCUGCCCCCUUCUUCUGGAUAACCGCAUGAAAGUGUGGCUAAUACGGGAUAUUCUGGGUCUGUCGCAUGAUGGGUCUGGGAAAGAUUGCGCCUUUGGGUGUUUUUGGUGGGGGAUGGGCUCGCGGCCUAUCAGCUUGUUGGUGGGGUGAUGGCCUACCAAGGCGGUGACGGGUAGCCGGCCGGAGAGGGGGGACGGUCACACUGGGACUGAGGCACGGCCCAGACUCCUACGGGAGGCAGCAGUGGGGAAUAUUGCACAAUGGGCGCAAGCCUGAUGCAGCGACGCCGCGUGAGGGAUGGAGGCCUUCGGGUUGUAAACCUCUUUCGCCAGUGAAGCAGGCCUGCUCCUUGUGGGUGGGUUGACGGUAGCUGGAUAAGAAGCGCCGGCUAACUACGUG